AAAUAAUCAAGAGAAGUAGUACAUGGUGGAGAGAUGGGUUCAGCCUUGGCAACAGAGGGAUCAAAUGAAUAUAAUUCAAGGUUCUAAACAUUUUUUCUGCUUAUAGGAAGAAAGACAAGCUUGGUGAACCAAUAGCAGCUCCACGACGGCUUGUUUCUUCUUUGUGGAAAGCAUCUUGAACAGGGAAUGGAAGAUCCAUAGCUUGAUAGAAAUCUAAAGACACAAAAAGAAGAAGUGGCAGCGACGAUCCGAAUUGUUCUACACCCAAAAGGAUGUUGAUGUUGUGAGGUCAGAGUGGGCUAAGUUUGUGAUGAAGUAUCAUAUUGCAUAGCUGUGAUGGUUGUUCAAGGAAGGGCUCUUAUUUUGGUAUUUUGAUCACCUGCCUCCUGCUAGCUGGUUUUAGUUUUUGCUUUAGUUAUAGGCAUGGUUAAUGCGCAGUUGAAGGCAUUUUUGUUUUGGUAUUUUGAUGAGCCUCCUGCUAGCUAGUUUUAGUUUUUGCUUUAGUUAUAGGCAUGGUUAAUGCAAUGUGGACGCGUUUAUGU
Molecule: long non-coding RNA, 542 nt
Organism: Rosa rugosa (rugosa rose)
Lineage: Eukaryota; Viridiplantae; Streptophyta; Magnoliopsida; Rosales; Rosaceae
Exons: 4
Source: RefSeq, a predicted model, not a curated record